Molecule: unclassified non-coding RNA, 291 nt
Filed under: uncultured bacterium
Lineage: Bacteria
Description: partial contains 16S ribosomal RNA and 16S-23S ribosomal RNA intergenic spacer region
Rfam family: Bacterial small subunit ribosomal RNA
Source: RNAcentral
UGCGGGAGCUUGCUCCCAAAAGUUAGCGGCGGACGGGUGAGUAACACGUGGGCAACCUGCCUAUAAGACUGGGAUAACUUCGGGAAACCGGAGCUAAUACCGGAUCAUUCUUUUCUACACAUGUAGGAAAGCUGAAAGACGGUUUACGCUGUCACUUAUAGAUGGGCCCGCGGCGCAUUAGCUAGUUGGUGAGUUAUCGGCUCACCAAGGCCAAAAUGCGUAGCCGACCUGAGAGGGUGAUCGGCCACACUUGGUCCCUUGACACGNCGAAGACUCCUACGGUAGGUCGCU